CGAAAAAUGAGUAGCAGCGUGGUGUCUCCCGCAGCCGGUGACCUCGGCUUCGUCCCAGCCACAG
This 64-nucleotide non-coding RNA is filed under the name unclassified sequences. The record is from RNAcentral.